RNAcentral lists this ribosomal RNA (326 nucleotides) under uncultured eukaryote. RNAcentral's name for it is "partial 18S ribosomal RNA". It matches the Rfam family "Eukaryotic small subunit ribosomal RNA", at positions 1470 to 1796 of the family's 1831-position model. The record is from RNAcentral.
CCCUUAGAUGCUCUGGGCCGCACGCGCGCUACACUGGUCGAUGCAACGAGUUUCUUUCCUUGGCCGACAGGCCUGGGCAAUCUUUGAACAUCGAUCGUGAUCGGGAUAGAUUCUUGUAAUUUUUGAUCUUAAACGAGGAAUUCCUAGUAAACGCAAGUCAUCAGCUUGCAUUGAUUACGUCCCUGCCCUUUGUACACACCGCCCGUCGCACCUACCGAUUGAAUGGUCCGGUGAAGCCUCGGGAUUGUGGCGAGUUCCCUUUAUUGGGAGUUUGUCGCGAGAACUUGUCUAAACCUUAUCAUUUAGAGGAAGGUGAANUCGUAACA